CAGUAGCCGCGGGAAUACGUAGGGUGCGAGCGUUAAUCGGAAUCACUGGGCUUAAAGCGCGUGUAGGCGGAUUGGUGCGUCGGUGCCUGAAAUCCCCCGGCUCAACCGGGGAACGCGGCCCGAAACGACCAGUCUGGAGGGACGUAGGGGGAACUGGAACUUCCGGUGAAGCGGUGAAAUGCGUUGAGAUCGGAAGGAACGCCCGUGGCGAAAGCGAGUUCCUGGACGUCUGCUGACGCUGAGACGCGAAAGCUAGGGGAGCGAACGGGAUUAGAUACCCCGGUAGUCCCUGUCUCUUAUA
RNAcentral lists this ribosomal RNA (301 nucleotides) under uncultured bacterium. RNAcentral's name for it is "partial 16S ribosomal RNA". It matches the Rfam family "Bacterial small subunit ribosomal RNA", at positions 509 to 808 of the family's 1533-position model. The record is from RNAcentral.